AUUUAAUUAGUUUAUUUAGAACGUUGGUUUGUGAUAUCAGAGGAAUAAUUAAGUUAUAUUAGAUU
This 65-nucleotide transfer RNA is filed under the name Xenogryllus marmoratus. Its description in RNAcentral is "tRNA-His". The record is from RNAcentral. Lineage: Eukaryota; Metazoa; Arthropoda; Insecta; Orthoptera; Gryllidae.